UACGGAGGGUGCGAGCGUUGUCCGGAAUCACUGGGCGUAAAGGGUGCGUAGGCGGCCUUGUAAGUCAGUGGUGAAAUACUCCAGCUUAACUGGAGGGGUGCCAAUGAUACUGCAGGGCUUGAGUACAGAUGAGGUAGGCGGAAUUGACGGUGUAGCGGUGAAAUGCAUAGAUAUCGUCAAGAACACCGAUAGCGAAGGCAGCUUACUGGGCUGUAACUGACGCUGAGGCACGAAAGUGUGGGGAUCAAACAGG
RNAcentral lists this ribosomal RNA (253 nucleotides) under uncultured bacterium. RNAcentral's name for it is "partial 16S ribosomal RNA". It matches the Rfam family "Bacterial small subunit ribosomal RNA", at positions 524 to 776 of the family's 1533-position model. The record is from RNAcentral.